Molecule: long non-coding RNA, 954 nt
Filed under: Dromaius novaehollandiae (emu)
Lineage: Eukaryota; Metazoa; Chordata; Aves; Casuariiformes; Dromaiidae
Description: lncRNA (ENSDNVG00000010280.1)
Source: RNAcentral
UUAGAUAAGAACGGCUUCUGACAAGUUUCCAGCCAUGAUAAAAUGAGUGCCAAACCUUAGCUGUAAACAGGAACAGCAUAGCUUAAGCAUUCGUGCUCAAGACAGAUUUUCCGAUGUGUAGCAUUAGUUCCACCGUGCGAAGAUUACAGCUAAAGACCUUCUGACAUGGCAGAGGCCAUGGCCAAAGAUGACUGCUGUCAAAACCUACAAGUGAAACUGGACUGAUGCCAUGUAACGCACAAAGCAAUCAGUGUUCAGGCAGUGAAUACAAGARGCUAUGUAUGUGACGCUGCAGCUGCCGGUGCUCUAGGAAGGUUGGGCUAAAUCUCUUGCCAAAGUGGGAUCCUCCUAGUUGAACUGAGAGGAGACCCCAUCACUGGGAAGUCCCUGUGCCUGACUGCAGUAGGUGUCUGCUCUUUACAGCAAAARCUGUCCUCUGAAUCCACGUUGCUUGCUGCUCCUUGGUUUGUAAACAGACUCAUCCUUCAUGUGGGUGGUUUAUGUUGUAUGCUGUGCUCUYGUCUCACGUUCUGUGGUCCUUCCAUUUUGGAGUUUGCUUCUACUGAGUGUGUCUGAUGCUUGUUAGACUUGGAUAAAGAAGAGUUCAUGGGGAUAGAUAAAAUGCUUACAAGCUUAGUCACCUGAACAGUUGCUAUUUUUAGUCUGAAGCUGCACAGUUUUGAUUGAGACCUAAUGGCCCUGGUGCUCAGGAUAUUUGGCUGCGUAACUCUAGAUCUUUGUGAAGAGGACAGAAUUAGACUCGGCCAGAUGAAGAGUCUGGGGACCUUUGCAACCCAACACCAGAAUGAUUACAAGCUUUCCCAGGAGAGAGGGGCGAUUCUGGACGCGGGCGGGUGUGCGGGAGGUCUGCAGCGCGCUGCCCGUGACAGCUGUGCGGACACAGCCCUCCGAGGAGCCUCUGCCUACAGGAAGCAGCAAGACCGGACUGUUUAA